Molecule: unclassified non-coding RNA, 206 nt
Filed under: soil metagenome
Description: partial contains 5.8S ribosomal RNA, internal transcribed spacer 2, and large subunit ribosomal RNA
Source: RNAcentral
AACCUUAUGGACCUGCGGGCGUAUACCUGCGGAGGGAUCAUUACAGAGAUUGAUGCACCAAGUGCAUCACCUCCAACCCCUUGCGAAAACAACUAUCAUGUGUUGCUUUGGCAGUGUUUCCACUGCCAGAGGUUUACAUAAAAUCAGCUGUUGGAUGUUGUCUGAGUAAACUAUAUGAAUUAUUUAAAACUUUUAACAACGGAUCU